Molecule: ribosomal RNA, 552 nt
Filed under: uncultured bacterium
Lineage: Bacteria
Description: partial 16S ribosomal RNA
Rfam family: Bacterial small subunit ribosomal RNA
Source: RNAcentral
GGGGAAUAUUGCACAAUGGGCGCAAGCCUGAUGCAGCCAUGCCGCGUGUGUGAAGAAGGCCUUCGGGUUGUAAAGCACUUUCAGCGAGGAGGAAGGCGUUAAGGUUAAUAACCUUGGCGAUUGACGUUACUCGCAGAAGAAGCACCGGCUAACUCCGUGCCAGCAGCCGCGGUAAUACGGAGGGUGCAAGCGUUAAUCGGAAUUACUGGGCGUAAAGCGCACGCAGGCGGUUUGUUAAGUCAGAUGUGAAAUCCCCGAGCUUAACUUGGGAACUGCAUUUGAAACUGGCAAGCUAGAGUCUUGUAGAGGGGGGUAGAAUUCCAGGUGUAGCGGUGAAAUGCGUAGAGAUCUGGAGGAAUACCGGUGGCGAAGGCGGCCCCCCUGGACAAAGACUGACGCUCAGGUGCGAAAGCGUGGGGCAGCAAACAGGAUUAGAUACCCUGGUAGUCCACGCUGUAAACGAUGUCGAUUUGGAGGUUGUGGGCUUGACCCGUGGCUUCCGGAGCUAACGCGUUAAAUCGACCGCCUGGGGAGUACGGCCGCAAGGUUAAA